RNAcentral lists this ribosomal RNA (495 nucleotides) under Trechus gracilitarsis. RNAcentral's name for it is "partial 16S ribosomal RNA". The stretch from base 339 to 495 matches the Rfam family "Bacterial large subunit ribosomal RNA", at positions 2473 to 2630 of the family's 2925-position model. Lineage: Eukaryota; Metazoa; Arthropoda; Insecta; Coleoptera; Carabidae. The record is from RNAcentral.
AAUGGCUGCAGUAAUUUGACUGUACAAAGGUAGCAUAAUCAUUAGUUUUUUAAUUAAAAGCUUGUAUGAAAGGUUGGACGAGAUAAAAUCUGUCUCUUUUUAAAAUAAUUAGAAUUUAAUUUUUAAGUUAAAAAGCUUAAAUUUAUAUAAAAGACGAGAAGACCCUAUAGAGUUUAAUAUUUUUUAUUUAUUAAUAAAUUUAGAUUUAUUGAUUUUAUUUUUUAAAAAUUAUUUUAUUGGGGUAAUAGAAAGAUUAGAGAAAUUCUUUUUUAUAAAAUCAUUAAUUUAUGAAAAUUUUGAUCCAUUAAAUUUUGAAUAUAAGAUUAAAUUACCUUAGGGAUAACAGCGUAAUUUUUUUUAAGAGUUCAUAUCGAUAAAAAAGUUUGCGACCUCGAUGUUGGAUUAAAGAUUAAUUUAGGUGUAGAAGUUUAAAUUUUUGGUCUGUUCGACCAUUGAAUCUUUACAUGAUCUGAGUUCAAACCGGUGUAAGCCAGG